This 447-nucleotide ribosomal RNA is filed under the name uncultured bacterium. Its description in RNAcentral is "partial 16S ribosomal RNA". It matches the Rfam family "Bacterial small subunit ribosomal RNA", at positions 29 to 523 of the family's 1533-position model. The record is from RNAcentral.
AACGAACGCUGGCGGCAGGCUUAACACAUGCAAGUCGAACGCACCGCAAGGUGAGUGGCAGACGGGUGAGUAACACGUGGGGAUCUGCCCAAUGGUACGGAAUAGCUCCGGGAAACUGGAAUUAAUACCGUAUGUGCCCUUCGGGGGAAAGAUUUAUCGCCAUUGGAUGAACCCGCGUCGGAUUAGCUAGUUGGUGUGGUAAAGGCGCACCAAGGCGACGAUCUGUAGCUGGUCUGAGAGGAUGAUCAGCCACACUGGGACUGAGACACGGCCCAGACUCCUACGGGAGGCAGCAGUGGGGUAUAUUGGACAAUGGGCGCAAGCCUGAUCCAGCCAUGCCGCGUGAGUGAUGAAGGCCCUAGGGUUGUAAAGCUCUUUCGCCGACGAAGAUAAUGACGGUAGUCGGAGAAGGAGCCCCGGCUAACUUCGUGCCAGCCGCCGCAGUAA